RNAcentral lists this ribosomal RNA (1455 nucleotides) under Escherichia coli. Its description in RNAcentral is "partial 23S ribosomal RNA". It matches the Rfam family "Bacterial large subunit ribosomal RNA", at positions 777 to 2215 of the family's 2925-position model. Lineage: Bacteria; Pseudomonadati; Pseudomonadota; Gammaproteobacteria; Enterobacterales; Enterobacteriaceae. The record is from RNAcentral.
AACCGACUAAUGUUGAAAAAUUAGCGGAUGACUUGUGGCUGGGGGUGAAAGGCCAAUCAAACCGGGAGAUAGCUGGUUCUCCCCGAAAGCUAUUUAGGUAGCGCCUCGUGAAUUCAUCUCCGGGGGUAGAGCACUGUUUCGGCAAGGGGGUCAUCCCGACUUACCAACCCGAUGCAAACUGCGAAUACCGGAGAAUGUUAUCACGGGAGACACACGGCGGGUGCUAACGUCCGUCGUGAAGAGGGAAACAACCCAGACCGCCAGCUAAGGUCCCAAAGUCAUGGUUAAGUGGGAAACGAUGUGGGAAGGCCCAGACAGCCAGGAUGUUGGCUUAGAAGCAGCCAUCAUUUAAAGAAAGCGUAAUAGCUCACUGGUCGAGUCGGCCUGCGCGGAAGAUGUAACGGGGCUAAACCAUGCACCGAAGCUGCGGCAGCGACACUGUGUGUUGUUGGGUAGGGGAGCGUUCUGUAAGCCUGCGAAGGUGUGCUGUGAGGCAUGCUGGAGGUAUCAGAAGUGCGAAUGCUGACAUAAGUAACGAUAAAGCGGGUGAAAAGCCCGCUCGCCGGAAGACCAAGGGUUCCUGUCCAACGUUAAUCGGGGCAGGGUGAGUCGACCCCUAAGGCGAGGCCGAAAGGCGUAGUCGAUGGGAAACAGGUUAAUAUUCCUGUACUUGGUGUUACUGCGAAGGGGGGACGGAGAAGGCUAUGUUGGCCGGGCGACGGUUGUCCCGGUUUAAGCGUGUAGGCUGGUUUUCCAGGCAAAUCCGGAAAAUCAAGGCUGAGGCGUGAUGACGAGGCACUACGGUGCUGAAGCAACAAAUGCCCUGCUUCCAGGAAAAGCCUCUAAGCAUCAGGUAACAUCAAAUCGUACCCCAAACCGACACAGGUGGUCAGGUAGAGAAUACCAAGGCGCUUGAGAGAACUCGGGUGAAGGAACUAGGCAAAAUGGUGCCGUAACUUCGGGAGAAGGCACGCUGAUAUGUAGGUGAAGUCCCUCGCGGAUGGAGCUGAAAUCAGUCGAAGAUACCAGCUGGCUGCAACUGUUUAUUAAAAACACAGCACUGUGCAAACACGAAAGUGGACGUAUACGGUGUGACGCCUGCCCGGUGCCGGAAGGUUAAUUGAUGGGGUCAGCGCAAGCGAAGCUCUUGAUCGAAGCCCCGGUAAACGGCGGCCGUAACUAUAACGGUCCUAAGGUAGCGAAAUUCCUUGUCGGGUAAGUUCCGACCUGCACGAAUGGCGUAAUGAUGGCCAGGCUGUCUCCACCCGAGACUCAGUGAAAUUGAACUCGCUGUGAAGAUGCAGUGUACCCGCGGCAAGACGGAAAGACCCCGUGAACCUUUACUAUAGCUUGACACUGAACAUUGAGCCUUGAUGUGUAGGAUAGGUGGGAGGCUUUGAAGUGUGGACGCCAGUCUGCAUGGAGCCGACCUUGAAAUACCACCCUUUAAUGUUU